GCGGCUUUAGCUCAGUUGGGAGAGCGUUAGACUGAAGCCAAACUUCGGGAUUUCUGUCAUCUAAAGGUCACCCGUUCAAGCCGGGUAAGCCGCA
This is a non-coding RNA of Staphylotrichum tortipilum, 94 nucleotides long. Lineage: Eukaryota; Fungi; Ascomycota; Sordariomycetes; Sordariales; Chaetomiaceae. The record is from the annotation of a GenBank genome assembly.